Molecule: long non-coding RNA, 1033 nt
Organism: Fundulus heteroclitus (mummichog)
Lineage: Eukaryota; Metazoa; Chordata; Actinopteri; Cyprinodontiformes; Fundulidae
Exons: 2
Source: RefSeq, a predicted model, not a curated record
CCCGUGUGUGUAGACGGUAGCAGACCUGGCUGAAGUUCAGGAAUAAUUCAUCGCAGUUAUGCUGCUCCGUGCAACGAUGGAGCUAUAAAUACACAGGGGGCGACACGUGAGGCCCGAGGAGUCAACAGGAGUCAACGGGAGCGGCGGUCCUUCAAGGGGUUUCGCUGGAGAAGUCAAAGCCGCUGCGCUUCCAUCGGCCUGAAGACAGGAAGGGUGAGAGUGGACGCGGUGUCAUGUGGGGCCGGGAGAAGCCGGGGGUCUCUCCCACGUCCCGUGAAAAGCAAACUCCUGCUGAACUUUGCCGGAGUCAUCUGGAAAUCAGGCGCUUGUCCCUGAAUGGCCUCGGAGCAGGAGGGGAGACUCCGCAGCAUCGUUUUGAGAGAUGAUGAAUUAAGAGACGAUUUCAGAGUAAACUGGGUUUCCUGCUCAUCAAAUACACCGACCAACAGAGUCCCCUCGUCAUAGGCCCUCCACCAACGUAGCUUUGGCCUUUCACGCUCGUCUCCAAACAUGGUGCUGAGCUUUAUGGUCAAACGUCUCUACCUUGGUCUCCUCAGGUCCAAACGACCUGCGGCAACGCGUCGACUCCUUCCUGGGAAGAAUAGCAACCUUUGGCACUAGACAAUGACGGCAAAACUAUAACUUUGGAACAUCACCGCAUACAUUAAAAUGAUUAAAAACUAAGUUUGCUGACAGCCAGAGCCAAAAAACAGAGAGAGAGAUCAAAACGAUGGACACAAGGGGAGAACGUCUGUCCGUAAAGGUAUAAUGUAGACAUAAACACCAGAUUUGUGUCAUUACCUCGGUAAAUGCUCGUCUUAAUGUCACCCGCCUAAUUAUAAGAGCUGUUUUCAAAGACUAUUUGGGAACUAUUUUAAUCCCGGCUGGUAUUUCUGAUCCCUGAGUGCGUUUGUAAGCGGAGCUGCAACAGGAGCCAACAGGCUGCCGGUGUAAAAAAAACCCAGACGGUGUUUAUGAAUGGAGCGCGACGAUGUGUUUGUAGAUUCAGCUGCAAAUAAAGACUGUGAAGGUC